RNAcentral lists this unclassified non-coding RNA (335 nucleotides) under Hevea brasiliensis (rubber tree). Lineage: Eukaryota; Viridiplantae; Streptophyta; Magnoliopsida; Malpighiales; Euphorbiaceae. The record is from RNAcentral.
CUCAGCAUCAGAUAAUGUGGCUUGGGGUGUGUACCCUUGUAAAUCUGCAUCCUGAUUUCCUGGUAACAAUAUGGCCCCAUCAGGUGGUGAGUCUGCAGUCUCCUGGCUCUCAAGUUCUAACUGCCUUUCAGAGCGAACAGUGAUAACAGGGGUUGGAUGCGAGAUUACAAGAUCAUCAGUUUCUGAUGCCUUUGCAGAAACCAAUUCUUCUUUCUCAUUUGCAGUUCUCAGCCUCCCUUUUGCAGAAUGAGAUUUGGAAGGCUUCUUUCCAAACAGUACAGUCUUGAUCCAUCUACCUGGUGAUUUGCCCAUGACUGGAUAAAUGAUAAUCAGAG